Long non-coding RNA from Eucalyptus grandis, 474 nucleotides. RefSeq lists it as uncharacterized. The record is from RefSeq and is a predicted model, not a curated record. Lineage: Eukaryota; Viridiplantae; Streptophyta; Magnoliopsida; Myrtales; Myrtaceae. The transcript is spliced from 3 exons.
GUUCGACCCAAAACACGAUAACUCCAAAUCCAAACAUAAACAGUAAACACGUUCUCAUCUUUCUCGGUUCCACCUUCUUCUCCGACGACACGACUGUGCCUACGCUCUACGACCGUCGGAACCUAGCCACCGCCGAAUCAGUCGAUCGUUGCCGUCCAUCGACGCGCCUCAUCCUCGCUCUCGCUGUCGCCACCCCUCGUCUCAAUGCCGGAACCCUAGCCGCCGCCGAAUCUGUCGAUCGUUGCCGGCGACGCCGAGGAGGAGGACGAGUCGGCUCUCGACCUCGAGCUCCAAUACAGCUUCCAGUGGAAUUUCAAGGUUCAAAGUGAUCAUUUCGAGGAGUUUUUCACCCUUGAAUUAGACAAACAUGGUUAUGAAGCUUUAUACAAGAAAAAAACGAUCGAGGUUUAUGGUGGGAAUAUCAAUACAAUAGAUGGUUGUGCUACAUUUUUUCACAAAGACAGGUUUUCUAAU